Molecule: ribosomal RNA, 496 nt
Filed under: uncultured bacterium
Lineage: Bacteria
Description: partial 16S ribosomal RNA
Rfam family: Bacterial small subunit ribosomal RNA
Source: RNAcentral
AUGAACGCUGGCGGCGUGCCUAAUACAUGCAAGUCGAGCGAACGGACGAGAAGCUUGCUUCUCUGAUGUUAGCGGCGGACGGGUGAGUAACACGUGGAUAACCUACCUAUAAGACUGGGAUAACUUCGGGAAACCGGAGCUAAUACCGGAUGAUAUUUUGAACCGCAUGGUUCAAAAGUGAAAGACGGUCUUGCUGUCACUUAUAGAUGGAUCCGCGCUGCAUUAGCUAGUUGGUAAGGUAACGGCUUACCAAGGCAACGAUGCAUAGCCGACCUGAGAGGGUGAUCGGCCACACUGGAACUGAGACACGGUCCAGACUCCUACGGGAGGCAGCAGUAGGGAAUCUUCCGCAAUGGGCGAAAGCCUGACGGAGCAACGCCGCGUGAGUGAUGAAGGUCUUCGGAUCGUAAAACUCUGUUAUUAGGGAAGAACAUAUGUGUAAGUAACUGUGCACAUCUUGACGGUUCCUAAUCAGAAAGCCACGGCUAACUACGUG